Long non-coding RNA from Oncorhynchus keta (chum salmon), 4329 nucleotides. RefSeq lists it as uncharacterized. NCBI's taxonomy places the organism in Eukaryota, Metazoa, Chordata, Actinopteri, Salmoniformes, Salmonidae. The transcript has 6 exons. The record is from RefSeq and is a predicted model, not a curated record.
UGCUGUAUAAUAACACUGACCACCCCAAGGUAAGAGACUACUGCUCUAUAAUAACACUGACCACCCCAAGGUAAGAGUCUACUGCUCUAUAACAACACUGACCACCCCAAGGUAAGAGACUACUGAUCUAUAAUAACACUGACCACAGCAAGGUAAGAGACUACUGCUCUAUAAUAACACUGACCACCCCAAGGUAAGAGACUACUGCUCUAUAAUAACACUGACCACCCCAAGGUAAGAGACUACUGCUCUAUAAUAACACUGACCACCCCAAGAUAAGAGACUAGUGGUAUAUAAUAACACUGACAACCCCAAGGUAAGAGACUACUGCUCUAAUAACACUGACCACCCCAAGGUAAGAGACUACUGCUCUAUAAUAACACUGACCACCCCAAGGUAAGAGACUACUGCUCUAUAAUAACACUGACCACCCCAAGGUAAGAGACUACUGCUCUAUAAUAACACUGACCACCCCAAGGUAAGAGACUACUGCUGUAUAAUAACACUGACAACCCCAAGGUAAGAGACUACUGCUGUAUAAUAACACUGACCACCCCAGGGUAAGAGACUACUGCUGUAUAAUAACACUGACCACCCCAAGGUAAGAGACUACUGCUGUAUAAUAACACUGACCACCCCAAGGUAAGAGACUACUGAUCUAUAAUAACACUGACCACCCCAAGGUAAGAGACUACUGAUCUAUAAUAACACUGACCACCCCAAGGUAAGAGACUACUGAUCUAUAAUAACACUGACCACCCCAAGGUAAGAGACUACUGCUGUAUAAUAACACUGACCACCCCAAGGUAAGAGACUACUCCUCUAUAAUAACACUGACCACCCCAAGGUAAGAGACUACUGAUCUAUAAUAACACUGACCACCCCAAGGUAAGAGACUACUGCUGUAUAAUAACACUGACCACCCCAAGGUAAGAGACUACUGCUCUAUAAUAACACUGACCACCCCAAGGUAAGAGUCUACUGCUCUAUAACAACACUGACCACCCCAAGGUAAGAGACUACUGAUCUAUAAUAACACUGACCACAGCAAGGUAAGAGACUACUGCUCUAUAAUAACACUGACCACCCCAAGGUAAGAGACUACUGCUCUAUAAUAACACUGACCACCCCAAGGUAAGAGACUACUGCUCUAUAAUAACACUGACCACCCCAAGGUAAGAGACUACUGCUCUAUAAUAACACUGACUACCCCAAGGUAAGAGACUACUGCUCUAUAAUAACACUGACCACCCCAAGGUAAGAGACGACUGCUCUAAUAACACUGACCACCCCAAGGUAAGAGACGACUGCUCUAUAGUAACACUGACCACAGUGGAAGGAGUAGGACUGAUUCUCUGUGGUUCUGAGAGAGAGGUCUGUCUAACUCGGUGUUGUUCAUACUCUAGGUUCUGAGAGAGAGGUCAGUCUAACUCAGUGUUGUUCAUACUCUAGGUUCUGAGAGAGAGGUCAGUCUAACUCUGUGUUGUUCAUACUCUAGGUUCUGAGAGAGUGGUCAGUCUAACUCUGUGUUGUUCAUACUCUAGGUUCUGAGAGAGUGGUCAGUCUAACUCUGUGUUGUUCAUACUCUAGGUUCUGAGAGAGAGGUCAGUCUAACUCUGUGUUGUUCAUACUCUAGGUUCUGAGAGAGUGGUCAGUCUAACUCAGUGUUGUUCAUACUCUAGGUUCUGAGAGAGUGGUCAGUCUAACUCAGUGUUGUUCAUACUCUAGGUUCUGAGAGAGAGGUCAGUCUAACUCAGUGUUGUUCAUACUCUAGGUUCUGAGAGAGAGGUCAGUCUAACUCUGUGUUGUUCAUACUCUAGGUUCUGAGAGAGAGGUCAGUCUAACUCUGUGUUGUUCAUACUCUAGGUUCUGAGAGAGUGGUCAGUCUAACUCUGUGUUGUUCAUACUCUAGGUUCUGAGAGAGAGGUCAGUCUAACUCUGUGUUGUUCAUACUCUGGGUUCUGAGAGAGUGGUCAGUCUAACUCUGUGUUGUUCAUACUCUAGGUUCUGAGAGAGAGGUCAGUCUAAAUCAGUGUUGUUCAUACUCUAGGUUCUGAGAGAGAGGUCAGUCUAACUCGGUGUUGUUCAUACUCUAGGUUCUGAGAGAGUGGUCAGUCUAACUCAGUGUUGUUCAUACUCUAGGUUCUGAGAGAGUGGUCAGUCUAACUCAGUGUUGUUCAUACUCUAGGUUCUGAGAGAGUGGCCAGUCUAACUCAGUGUUGUUCAUACUCUAGGUUCUGAGAGAGAGGUCAGUCUAACUCUGUGUUGUUCAUACUCUAGGUUCUGAGAGAGUGGUCAGUCUAACUCAGUGUUGUUCAUACUCUAGGUUCUGAGAGAGUGGUCAGUCUAACUCUGUGUUGUUCAUACUCUAGGUUCUGAGAGAGUGGCCAGUCUAACUCUGUGUUGUUCAUACUCUAGGUUCUGAGAGAGUGGUCAGUCUAACUCAGUGUUGUUCAUACUCUAGGUUCUGAGAGAGAGGUCAGUCUAACUCUGUGUUGUUCAUACUCUAGGUUCUGAGAGAGUGGUCAGUCUAACUCUGUGUUGUUCAUACUCUAGGUUCUGAGAGAGAGGUCAGUCUAACUCGGUGUUGUUCAUACUCUAGGUUCUGAGAGAGUGGUCAGUCUAACUCAGUGUUGUUCAUACUCUAGGUUCUGAGAGAGAGGUCAGUCUAACUCAGUGUUGUUCAUACUCUAGGUUCUGAGAGAGUGGUCAGUCUAACUCUGUGUUGUUCAUACUCUAGGUUCUGAGAGAGUGGUCAGUCUAACUCUGUGUUGUUCAUACUCUAGGUUCUGAGAGAGUGGUCAGUCUAACUCUGUGUUGUUCAUACUCUAGGUUCUGAGAGAGAGGUCAGUCUAACUCUGUGUUGUUCAUACUCUAGGUUCUGAGAGAGAGGUCAGUCUAACUCGGUGUUGUUCAUACUCUAGGUUCUGAGAGAGUGGUCAGUCUAACUCAGUGUUGUUCAUACUCUAGGUUCUGAGAGAGAGGUCAGUCUAACUCAGUGUUGUUCAUACUCUAGGUUCUGAGAGAGUGGUCAGUCUAACUCAGUGUUGUUCAUACUCUAGGUUCUGAGAGAGUGGUCAGUCUAACUCUGUGUUGUUCAUACUCUAGGUUCUGAGAGAGAGGUCAGUCUAACUCUGUGUUGUUCAUACUCUGGGUUCUGAGAGAGUGGUCAGUCUAACUCUGUGUUGUUCAUACUCUAGGUUCUGAGAGAGAGGUCAGUCUAAAUCAGUGUUGUUCAUACUCUAGGUUCUGAGAGAGAGGUCAGUCUAACUCGGUGUUGUUCAUACUCUAGGUUCUGAGAGAGUGGUCAGUCUAACUCAGUGUUGUUCAUACUCUAGGUUCUGAGAGAGUGGCCAGUCUAACUCAGUGUUGUUCAUACUCUAGGUUCUGAGAGAGUGGUCAGUCUAACUCUGUGUUGUUCAUACUCUAGGUUCUGAGAGAGUGGCCAGUCUAACUCUGUGUUGUUCAUACUCUAGGUUCUGAGAGAGUGGUCAGUCUAACUCAGUGUUGUUCAUACUCUAGGUUCUGAGAGAGAGGUCAGUCUAACUCUGUGUUGUUCAUACUCUAGGUUCUGAGAGAGUGGUCAGUCUAACUCUGUGUUGUUCAUACUCUAGGUUCUGAGAGAGAGGUCAGUCUAACUCUGUGUUGGUUCUACUGCAGGUAUUGGGAUGAUGGACAGCCCAAUGGUGGUACAUUCCAGAACUGUGGGGGAAUCAUUUACAAGUCGUCAGGCCAAGGAGCAUUGUGGGAUUUUGAUUGUAUCUAUUCAAAACAAUGGAUCUGUGAGAAAUAGGCUUCUCAUAAGUACUUUCUCUGCACUGCUGAUGAAUGAACUCUCUACUGUAUGUUAAUGAUGGUCUGAAGACUGGUGUGAUUUGAUUGAAUGGUACAAACACAUGCAGACAUUCAGAAACACACACACACACAAAGACACUGAUCUGAACCUGAGUCUCCCAUGGGGGAAACCAACGUCUUGAUUAGACGAGGUAAUUCCCUCUCGGACUGAGAUCUGACACUGAUUUUGAAGUUGCAGGCAGGGCUACCUCAUCACUUGACCAUGAGCAACCAAUCAUGACCAACUCAUGUCCACUACACAAGCUGACACAAUAAUGUAUUCAUUUGUCAAUCAAUAAGGUGUAGAAUAGGGGUAUAAUAUCAUUCAAUAGUCACUGUCAAUCAAUUACUGUUAAGUUUUACACUUUGAAAUAGAUUUGAAAUGACUGUAUAUGUUUAUCAGGUAUGCUUACUUCUUCUGCGUUUAUUAUUCUGAACAUACACAUUGUGUUCUUCCUGCUAAUUCAAUAAAUAAUUCAACCAAGAUUAAAGACA